UAUAAAUUUUAAUUCUAAGUAACUAUCCUGAAAGACAUUACUAUUCAUCUGACAAAUGAACACAAUAAUGAUAAGCUGUAUUUCAUUUAAAACCUUUUUUUAUAUGAACUUUAGAGUUUAAAAUCAAAUGGUUUGUUAUUCUAAAAUGACCCCCUUAUUUUGCUUUAAAAUGUGAACAAAGCCGUGUUUUAAUUAGCACAAAAUAUGUCUGACACAUGAGCAUAAAUUUACUAUUUAAAUUCUCGUUAUUUUAGUUUUCAUCCUAAGGCUUAUGAAAUAUAUAAAUUUUUGUUGCUCCUUUACAAUUUUAUUAUUCAAUGUUAUUAAAGCAUCAUAUAUUUACCUUGCUAGUAGUUUUUAGACUGAUUAAAUUUGAAAAUGUGAUCUUCACACUUCAUCAUUGUUCAUGGGAGGAAAAGGGAACAACCAAAUAUUUUUCUAAGAUAUUUUUAUAUGCUUCAACCUAUUAAAAUACGGUGUUUGUCCUAUUAGAAUUGAAACAAUUCCUUUAUGUCAUGCUCUGUACUCAUUUUAAUGUGGUUGGACAUUAUAUUUGUCGAUAUAUUACACUGAGUAUUUUGUUAUUUUAAAAAUAUAGUUUAUCUUAUGUAAUUGUUGAAGACCAUGUUUUAACUUUUGCAAUUUGUUUUAUUUAUGUGUCCUCCAGUUGCUGUAUCAUUGACAUGACCCUUAUAUCUACAAUUUUGUAUUGCACAUACAUGAAAUCUGUACACAUUUGUCAAUAUUCAAAUGUUGUGCCGAAAAAAAGUUGUUUUUUUUAAAAGUAUUUACUGUUAAAAUGUGUAUCAUUUGCUUAUGUUCCUUAAUUGUAUGUUUGAAUAUCUGUAGCACACAGUUUUGGUAGUAAAAAUGCAUAUAAAAUUAAGUAUUAAACAUUUCUAACACAAAUUUAAAUAUUUAAAUGUUUGAAUGAUUUCUGCAUAUGGUAAUUAUGAAAAAAAAAGUUUGAAGUAUUGAUGCAUAAGAAUGUAGAUUACAGACAACAAAUAUAUCAAUAUAAGAACUUUUGCAUAUGUUGUAGUCAUUUAUAGUUGCCCUUUUUACAGAUGAUAUAAAGAAUGAAAGUUUGCCCAAUGAGCUUUUUAUAAUAAGUUAUGCCUACCCAAAAUGAAUUGUAUAACAUCAAAUGAUGGUGAGGAAUGAAAGCCGGUCUUGAUGUCUUCUUUAUUUAUUUUGUAAAAA
RNAcentral lists this long non-coding RNA (1203 nucleotides) under Mytilus galloprovincialis (Mediterranean mussel). The record is from RNAcentral. Lineage: Eukaryota; Metazoa; Mollusca; Bivalvia; Mytilida; Mytilidae.